Molecule: ribosomal RNA, 916 nt
Filed under: uncultured archaeon
Lineage: Archaea
Description: bacterial SSU rRNA
Rfam family: Archaeal small subunit ribosomal RNA
Source: RNAcentral
UUCCGGUUGAUCCCGCCGGAGGUUACUGCUAUCGAGGUUCGACUAAGCCAUGCGAGUCGAAUGUAGCAAUACAUGGCGUACUGCUCAGUAACACGUGGAUAACCUACCCCUGAGAUGGGAAUAAACCCGGGAAACUGGGUAUAAUACCCGAUAGAUCUCGACUGCUGGAAUGCAUCGAGAUCCAAAGCUCCGGCGCUCAAGGAUGGAUCUGCGGCCUAUCAGGUAGUAGUGGGUGUAGUGUACCUACUAGCCUACGACGGGUACGGGUUGUGAGAGCAAGAGCCCGGAGAUGGAUUCUGAGACACGAAUCCAGGCCCUACGGGGUGCAGCAGGCGCGAAAACUUUACAAUGCUGGAAACAGCGAUAAGGGGACCUCGAGUGCCAGGUUACAAAUCUGGCUGUCGUGAUGCCUAAAAAGCAUUGCAUAGCAAGGGCCGGGUAAGACCGGUGCCAGCCGCCGCGGUAACACCGGCGGCUCGAGUGGUAACCGUUAUUAUUGGGUCUAAAGGGUCUGUAGCCGGCCGGAUAAGUCUCUUGGGAAAUCUGGCAGCUUAACUGUCAGGCUUUCAGGAGAUACUGUCUGGCUCGAGGCCGGGAGAGGUGAGAGGUACUUCAGGGGUAGGGGUGAAAUCUUGUAAUCCUUGAAGGACCACCAGUGGCGAAGGCGUCUCACCAGAACGGACCUGACGGCAAGGGACGAAAGCUAGGGGCACGAACCGGAUUAGAUACCCGGGUAGUCCUAGCCGUAAACGAUACUCGCUAGGUGUCGGCAACGGUGCGACCGUUGUCGGUGCCGUAGGGAAGCCGUGAAGCGAGCCACCUGGGAAGUACGGCCGCAAGGCUGAAACUUAAAGGAAUUGGCGGGGGAGCACCACAACGGGUGGAGCUUGCGGUUUAAUUGGAUUCAACGCCGGAA